UACUCUGUACGGAGUACGGAGUA
This 23-nucleotide unclassified non-coding RNA is filed under the name Penicillium rubens Wisconsin 54-1255. RNAcentral's name for it is "small non coding RNA". Lineage: Eukaryota; Fungi; Ascomycota; Eurotiomycetes; Eurotiales; Aspergillaceae. The record is from RNAcentral.